RNAcentral lists this ribosomal RNA (195 nucleotides) under Triticum aestivum (bread wheat). Its description in RNAcentral is "partial small subunit ribosomal RNA". The record is from RNAcentral. Lineage: Eukaryota; Viridiplantae; Streptophyta; Magnoliopsida; Poales; Poaceae.
AUGCAGAGGUCGGGGCGGUACUGCGGUGGCGCUGCACUGCAACAGAAGAAGAAGAGGGAGGCGCGACAGAGGCGAUGGCACGCGGGUCCGGCGAGCUCCGACCCGUGGCGGCGCACGGCGAAGUGGGGCGGCACACGCACAGAGGCAGGUUGCGACGUGGCGAGGUGGCCUGGUGGCGGCGAAGGGCGACGCUGA